GACGAACGCUGGCGGCGUGCCUAAUACAUGCAAGUAGAACGCUGAAGAGAGGAGCUUGCUCUUCUUGGAUGAGUUGCGAACGGGUGAGUAACGCGUAGGUAACCUGCCUUGUAGCGGGGGAUAACUAUUGGAAACGAUAGCUAAUACCGCAUAACAAUAGGUGACACAUGUCAUUUAUUUGAAGGGGCAAUUGCUCCACUACAAGAUGGACCUGCGUUGUAUUAGCUAGUAGGUGAGGUAACGGCUCACCUAGGCGACGAUACAUAGCCGACCUGAGAGGGUGAUCGGCCACACUGGGACUGAGACACGGCCCAGACUCCUACGGGAGGCAGCAGUAGGGAAUCUUCGGCAAUGGGGGGCAACCCUGACCGAGCAAGCCGCGUGAGUGAAGAGGUUUCGGAUCGUAAAGCUACUGUUGUAAGUCAAGACGAGUGUGAGAGUGGAAAGUUCACACUGUGA
Molecule: ribosomal RNA, 459 nt
Filed under: uncultured bacterium
Lineage: Bacteria
Description: bacterial SSU rRNA
Rfam family: Bacterial small subunit ribosomal RNA
Source: RNAcentral